Molecule: long non-coding RNA, 1525 nt
Organism: Esox lucius (northern pike)
Lineage: Eukaryota; Metazoa; Chordata; Actinopteri; Esociformes; Esocidae
Source: Ensembl
UUAUGCUGAGAAAUAUAAAAAUGCUACAUGUAACAGUCUUAAAGAUUUAGCUGAGUUACAUACAAGAAACAUUUAAAUGACUGGAUUUGACAUAACUGAGAAUAGCAAAAUACAUUUAGUCAAGUCUGGGGCAUCCCAGCUCAGUGGGUGAUGUUUUUAGUGGGUAUACAGUGGGUAACUGGAACAUGAGGUACAUGCCUGCAACAAGGGGCUUGUGGAUUUGAACGCGAAUUAUUACAGAGAAAUUGACAAUCAAUACUCUGGCAUCAGCUCUGGUGUACAUUUCCACAGUCAAAAUGCCAAAUGCUCCCAAUUGAAAAGCUAACCAAGAAAAACCUUCAUGGCAAAAGGAGCUGGAACAGUAACGGAAAAGGCAGAGAUGAAUUACUUACAGCUCACAAUCCAUUUCAGCAUGAGUACAGGUGCCUGAUGUUUCAGUAUGAGAACAGGUGCCUGAUGUUUCAGCAUGAGAACAGGUGCCUGAUGUUUCAGCAUGAGAACAGGUGCCUGAUGUUUCAACAUGAGAACAGGUGCCUGAUGUUUCAGCAUGAGAACAGUUGCCUGAUGUUUCAACAUGAGAACAGGUGCCUGAUGUUUCAACAUGAGAACAGGUGCCUGAUGUUUCAACAUGAGAACAGGUGCCUGAUGUUUCAGCAUAAGAACAUGUGCCUGAUAUUUCAACAUGAAUACAGGUGCCUGAUGUUUCAGCACUGAGCACAGGUGCCUGAUGUUUCAGCAUAAGAACAGGUGCCUGAUGUUUCAGCAUAAAAACAUGUGCCUGAUAUUUCAACAUGAAUACACGUGCCUGAUGUUUCAGCACUGAGCACAGGUGCCUGAUGUUUCAGCAUAAGAACAGGUGCCUGAUGUUUCAGCAUAAGAACAUGUGCCUGAUAUUUCAACAUGAAUACAGGUGCCUGAUGUUUCAGCACUGAGCACAGGUGCCUGAUGUUUCAGCAUAAGAACAGGUGCCUGAUGUUUCAGCAUAAGAACAUGUGCCUGAUAUUUCAACAUGAAUACAGGUGCCUGAUGUUUCAACAUGAGCACAAGUGCCUGAUGUUUCAGCAUAAGAACAUGUGCCUGAUGUUUCAGCACUGAGCUGGCAUCUCCUUCAGAGUAACCUGACCGUUGCACGGUACUCCUAUUUAAAAUUUAGAGGACUAUUCAGACACAAUUUUGUUUUACAUUGGAAAAGUUAGAUGAUUUUUUCCCAGUUGAUAUGGUCAGUUUUUAUCUUCAUGUGGGAAGAUGAUAUUUGAUAAACAAUUUUACAUUUCAGCUAAUGUAUUAUAUGACCAACUAGUGAUGUUGACCGGAGGUAUUGGCACUUUCUCAAAUAACUUUGUCUUUAAAAGUAAGUUUAAGUGGACCGAAGUAUUUAAUCUCCACAAUUCUUAUUUCACUGCUAAUAUUACAGAAACUUUGUUUAUAUUGUUUUAUAUCAAAAAAUAAACUUGAAUGGCACAGACAAAAUUGAAAUGCUAAGCUCAGUGUGUUGUAGCACUGCUUUUUGCAAACAAACAGUUUG